AUUGGAACCAACGGGUGGGGGCUGGACAACUGCUGGGUGGAACACCUCCAGGUUGCCCGCUCAGGGAGGCCUUAGUGUCUCCCUACCCUUGUACUUGAGGCUAAACUGGGACCUCCCCACCCGCCAUUUCCCAGGCCAAGUCAAUUUCAUGUAAGUUUCCUAGGCCUGGGAACAGGAAGGGAUAUGUGUCCAUUCAUUGUUAGGCUAUCUAUACCCCUAGCCAAAGACCCCCGUUGAGAUUUUUUCUGACCUGAGUUUUUUCCUCUGCCAGAUGUUCUGGUGCUUUCUCUGUAUUCUUUUCUGUAAAAUAAUCCUGUCUUGCCACUGAUCUGUGGUCCGUAGAUUCAUUCUUAGAAUCCCUGAGACCAAGGACCUACUGAAGAAGCAAUUCCAGUAUCACUUUUAUCACUGGUGACUGAUCCAGGCAGUCUAGAGCCUACAGAUGGAGUCUGGGGUUGCCCAAUAGUUCGUAGGAGCCCAGGCCUGACUCCAGCACCUGCGACUGUCGGAAAGGAGUCCGGGGGUCUGAAGAGAAAGACGUGUAAGCAAGUAUUUCAGUGCAGCCUGGCCCAGGUCACAACAGAAGGUAAAAGAAACUGGUUUUCGAGCCUGCGCAACGUCCCUGGAAGAAGUUGCUUCUCCUUGAGCUGCUCUUACUCAGCCCAAAGUUGAAGGUCAGAAGGCUACAGGCAAGUGACACCCAGGAAAGAGAUGACAGAUGUAGAGGAAUGUAGUCCCAGUGGAAACGGCACUAGCAAUUUCCAAGGUUGGGCAAAUUUAUGUCUAAUUUGUCCCAGAAGAAGAAUUUUUUUGCAAAGAAUGUGUGUUAGCCUGAAUUCGCUCCUGGAUUGUGACUCUCUGCCUAUGGAAGUCAGUAAGC
This is a long non-coding RNA of Nycticebus coucang (slow loris), 880 nucleotides long. RefSeq lists it as uncharacterized. The record is from RefSeq and is a predicted model, not a curated record. NCBI's taxonomy places the organism in Eukaryota, Metazoa, Chordata, Mammalia, Primates, Lorisidae. The transcript has 3 exons.